This 256-nucleotide ribosomal RNA is filed under the name uncultured prokaryote. RNAcentral describes it as "partial 16S ribosomal RNA". It matches the Rfam family "Bacterial small subunit ribosomal RNA", at positions 524 to 780 of the family's 1533-position model. The record is from RNAcentral.
UACGAGGAUGCGAGCGUUAUCCGGAUUUAUUGGGUUUAAAGGGUGCGUAGGCGGCUUUUUAAGUCAGCGGUGAAAUUUUGCAGCUUAACUGUAACAGUGCCGUUGAUACUGGGGAGCUAGGAUUUGGUUGCUGUGGGUGGAAUGUGUGGUGUAGCGGUGAAAUGCUUAGAGAUCACACAGAAUAUCGAUUGCGAAGGCAGCUCACAAAGUCAAGAUUGACGCUGAGGCACGAAAGUGUGGGGAUCAAACAGGAUUA